RNA transcript from Rosa chinensis, 1715 nucleotides. It is a transcript of the gene named calcium-binding protein 39, with no coding region annotated. The record is from RefSeq and is a predicted model, not a curated record. The transcript has 12 exons. NCBI's taxonomy places the organism in Eukaryota, Viridiplantae, Streptophyta, Magnoliopsida, Rosales, Rosaceae.
AACGGAUCCGCACUGGCACGAAAAAGACCGGGGCUCUUUUCACAAUCGUCCUUCUUCACCAAACUCACAGCUAGCAGCUGUAAAUUUCUUCCACAGAGAGACAAAGAGCUAGAGAGAGGGAAUUUGAUUCCCCAUCGAUCAUGUCGUUCUCGUUCUUCAAGCCGUCGAGGCCCAAAACCCCUCAGGAGGUCUCCAAGGCCAUUCACGACAGCCUCACUGCCCUCGACACCCAGACCGUCGCCGAAGUUAAAGCCCUCGAAAAGGCGUUGGAAGAGGUUGAAAAGAAUUUCGGGAUUAUGAGAUGUAUGCUUGUCGGGGAUGCGGAGACGGAACCUAAUAUGGAACAAGUUUCGCAGCUUGUGCUCGAGAUAUGUAAGGAGGAUGUUCUUGCUCUUCUAGUUCACAAGUUACCUAUACUGGGAUGGGAAGCAAGAAAAGAUUUGGUCCAUUGUUGGUCCGUGUUAUUGAAGCAAAAGGUUGAGGAUACUUAUUGCUGCGAACAAUACAUUGAGGACCAUACUGAGUUGCUAGACUUUCUGGUCGUGAGCUAUGAUAACAAGGAAAUUGCCUUAAAUUGUGGAGCUAUGUUGAGGGAUUGCAUCAGAUUCCCUAUUCUUGCAAAAUACAUAUUGGAGUCUGCAAGCUUUGUUUUGUUCUUCAAAUUUGUGGAGUUGCCUAACUUUGAUGUAGCUUCUGAUGCAUUUUCUACCUUUAAGGACUUACUUACUAAACAUGGAAUGGUGGUAUCUGAAUUUUUGACUGCACACUAUGAUGAGUUCUUCGAUCUGUAUGAAAAACUGUUAACAUCUCCUAACUACGUGACUAGGAGGCAAUCUUUAAAGCUUCUUACGGAUUUCCUAUUGGAACCUCCAAAUUCUCAUAUAAUGAAACGCUACAUUUUAGAAGUUCGGUUCUUGAAAGUCAUGAUGAUGCUGCUGAAGGAUUCAAGCAAAAACAUCCAGAUUGCUGCCUUCCACAUUUUCAAGGUCUUUGUUGCUAAUCCUAAUAAGCCUCGAGAAGUCAAGGUUAUUCUGGCUAAGAACCAUGCAAAAUUGACGGAGUUGCUCCAGAAUCUUUCUGCUGGAAAAGGUGAUGAAGAUGACCAAUUUGAAGAGGAAAAGGAGCUAAUCAUCAAGGAAAUUGAAUUAGUAACCCAACAACCUAAUCUUGGAUACUAGUUUGUGUCUGAUAGUUGCCUUUCUUCCCAAGUCCUAUAUUCGAAUUUUAAUGCUUUUAUUGUGAUGAUCUUCUGACAAACGCUGUUUGCCAACAAAAAAGGAGAUAAAAAGGAAUUCAUAGAACAGGUUUCCGUUUUGAAGAUUUGUCAUUACUUGAUUAAUCAAACACAUCCAUCAGAUCGGAGAAUUUCCACUUGAUGUGAGACGGACUACACCAAAGGUUGGUUACUGCAGUUGGCCACAAUCUAUCCGAGUAUGAUUCUCAGAAACCUGCAAAAAAUCAGAUUUACUGACUGAAGAUGGAAGGUUUAUCAGCAAAGGUACUCUUCGGAUGAAAGGUUCAUUGGUAGAAUGCGCCAUUUUUUUCGGUGAAUUGGUCUCUAAAAGUGCUUAAUAGCGUUUAAAAAUGUCAUCAAAAGUUGAUGGCUUUUUCAAAAUGCCAUUGAACGCCUGAAGCGACGAUUGUCCGCCGCUAAAAGGCGACUGGUUUGCCAGAUUCAGCUUACAAUGGAGAUGUUAUGAAUUUUCUUUUUGUUU